GUGCCAGCCGCCGCGGUAAUACGUAGGGUGCAAGCGUUAAUCGGAAUUACUGGGCGUAAAGGGUACGCAGGCGGCUAGGAAAGAAGGAUGUGGAAUCCCAGGGCUCAACCUUGGAACUGCAUUCUUAACUGCCUAGCUAGAGUAUGUCAGAGGGGGGUAGAAUUCCACGUGUAGCAGUGAAAUGCGUAGAUAUGUGGAGGAAUACCGAUGGCGAAGGCAGCCCCCUGGGAUAAUACUGACGCUCAGGUACGAAAGCGUGGGGAGCAAACAGGAUUAGAUACCCGGGUAGUCC
Molecule: ribosomal RNA, 292 nt
Filed under: uncultured prokaryote
Description: partial 16S ribosomal RNA
Rfam family: Bacterial small subunit ribosomal RNA
Source: RNAcentral